CACACGGCCACACUGGCACUGAAACACGGGCCAGACUCCUACGGGAGGCAGCAGUGGGGAAUCUUGCACAAUGGGGGCAACCCUGAUGCAGCGACGCCGCGUGAGCGAUGAAGCCCUUCGGGGUGUAAAGCUCUUUCGGCAGGAACGAUGAUGACGGUACCUGCAGAAGAAGCUGCGGCUAACUACGUGCCAGCAGCCGCGGUAAUACGUAGGCAGCGAGCGUUGUUCGGAGUUACUGGGCGUAAAGAGUGCGUAGGCGGUUUCGUAAGUCUGGUGUGAAAUCUCCCGGCUCAACUGGGAGGGUGCGCCGGAAACUGCGGAGCUGGAGUGUGGGAGAGGCAAGCGGAAUUCCUGGUGUAGCGGUGAAAUGCGUAGAUAUCAGGAGGAACACCUGCGGUGUAGACGGCUUGCUGGACCACC
RNAcentral lists this ribosomal RNA (420 nucleotides) under uncultured soil bacterium S013. RNAcentral's name for it is "bacterial SSU rRNA". It matches the Rfam family "Bacterial small subunit ribosomal RNA", at positions 301 to 738 of the family's 1533-position model. The record is from RNAcentral.